Molecule: non-coding RNA, 661 nt
Filed under: Pongo abelii (Sumatran orangutan)
Lineage: Eukaryota; Metazoa; Chordata; Mammalia; Primates; Hominidae
Source: RNAcentral
UUCUACAUUCUUGAAAUGCUGUUCUCAUGGGAGACAUUAAAUAAGCUUUGAAAUAACUGAAUGUACAGGGUGUACCAUGAACAAUUCUGACAUAUGAUUUAAUCUAUGUGUGACUACAUUUUAAAUACAUCUGGGAAGGAUUGAACAAUGAAGUGGAGCCCAUCAAUAUUGGUACUGAAAACGAGACAGCUCUGAAGUAAGCCCUUAAGUAAAGGUGCCAUCAAAUGAUUUCUCAGAAAUUAUAAAGAAACAAAAGGACCAUAAACAAGAUAAGGUGGCACGAGGAAACACUAAAAGUACCUUUCAGAGCUGACUGGCAAAGAAACUCCUGAGGUGAUGGUUCUACCCCAAUAUUACUUCUUCCAAGAGCAACCUAACUGGACUUAUCUUCCUCAGUUCCCUGUGGGGAACUUUUGUAGAGCCACACGAAAGGAGGUUUUUAGCUCUCACCUAUGGUCUUCAUCAUGCACCUCCUAGAUUCAAAAGUUCAGCAGGGGCAUGUCAAGCUAUAUAAAUAAAAACAAACUAAGACAAAAAUGUAACAUUCCAUACCUUAAAAUGCAACCUUAAUAACGUGAAAGACCCUGAAGGACUUGAGAUGUGAAGAUUUUCUACCACGGUCUUUGCAUGUAUUAUUUCUGACAGCUGUUCCUUUCUAUUC